AUCUCAGCAUAAACCCUCUGAAUGAGGGCUAGACACCGGGAAAACAUUCUUAGCUCUCUUUUCAAAUUUUGUGUUUAACCCUACAAGUGGGAGUAGACCCACUCAAGAGAUUGCUCCAUCCCUCGCCGAUGCUUGGCUGGGGAACAACACCCAGAUUGAAAGCUGCCUGAUAUAGAGCUGUGUGAGUGGCUACUAUGCUGUUGCUGGGACCUCCCCCAACCUGGGUUAAGAUGCAAACUCUGAGCUCUGAGCACUGGGACCCCAGUGUGCACUGGAACUAUGAGAUCACUAACAGGAAUCACUAUUCUCCUAACUUUAGGUAUUAUGAGCGAUGCUAAGACCACACAGACAAAUGCAAUGGAGAGUACUGAAGAAGAACCUGUCCACCUGCCUUGUAACCACUCCACAAUCAGUGAAAAUGAGUACAUAUACUGGUAUCGACAGAUUCCCAACCAGGGUCCGGAGUACAUGAUUCAUGGUCUAAAAGGCACUGUGACAAAUGGAAUGGCCACUCUGAUCAUCACAACAGCUAGAGAGUCCAGUACCUUGAUUCUGCCCCGGGUUACCCUGGGACAUGCUGCCGUGUACUACUGCAUGGUGAGAGAAGCACCCUGGGACAGAUGGCGCCACCCCCGUACAAGAUCUGCCUGGUGGGGGAAGGGAAGCAGCACCUGCCAUCUCCUGAGGCCACUGCGCAAGAAUGAGCAGGAGCCCAAUAGAGGAGAAGUAAAGGAGGAAAGGGGAAAGAAGUAAAGAGAAGAUAGUGAGGGAGUCAAAGAGGAAAGAAUAAAAGGGACAGAGGAUGAAGAAGAGCUCACGUUAUUAAAAGGAGGGACUAAAAAGUUCGCAAGGAAACUAAGAGACACAAUUGUAAACCUGCGAUAAAGGGAAAAGGAAAUGAGAAUUUGCCCUAGCUCUUUGUCAAAUGUUGCUUUCUAUAUAGAUCUCCUUAAAAUAGGUGAGAACAACCAUGGGGUUGUCCCAAAGACUUUCUUCAUUCAGACCCGAAGAGGUGCCCAGGCUCUGGAUAUUGCAUCAUAUUAGUCCUUCCAACUCCUCAAAAUUGGGGAUGAAUUUCAGAAACUGAUUUGUUUGCCCUUGAAAAAAAUUUGCUUACUGUAGCACACACAUCAUUGAGAUACAGACAAUUUGGGGGAUGCGAUAAAUAAGGGACACAUAUGUGGAUAUUCAUUUCAUUUUUAGAAUUGAUGUUGAAAUAUUAUUACACACACACACACACAAAAAAACCCACGCAAAUCUUUUCUCAUUGUAAAAGACUCAAGUUAUUACGUAAGGAUGUAGAGUAAAGCCUGAAAGCCCAAUCGGACUCUCCCCGCCUCCUCUCCGUUUCCUUUUCAAUUCCUAUGAUAACCCAUUUUGACAGUUUGGAGUGUGUCUUGACAAUCACAUUCUUUUUCAUUUAUAAGGGUGCUCAUAUAAACACCCAAUUUUCUUACAUGAAAUUGGAUCGUAUCAGGUGUAU
This is a non-coding RNA of Callorhinus ursinus (northern fur seal), 1483 nucleotides long. The record is from the annotation of a RefSeq genome assembly. NCBI's taxonomy places the organism in Eukaryota, Metazoa, Chordata, Mammalia, Carnivora, Otariidae.